AUUGAACGCUGGCGGCAUGCCUUACACAUGCAAGUCGAGCGGCAGCGCGGGGGCAACCCUGGCGGCGAGCGGCGCACGGGUGAGUAAUACAUCGGAACGUGUCCUUUUGUGGGGGAUAACCAGUCGAAAGACUGGCUAAUACCGCAUGAGAUCUCACGAUGAAAGCGGGGGACCGCAAGGCCUCGCGCGAUUGGAGCGGCCGAUGUCGGAUUAGCUAGNGGCGGGGUAAAGCCCACCAAGGCGACGAUCCGUAGCUGGUUUGAGAGAACGACCAGCCACACUGGGACUGAGACACGGCCCAGACUCCUACGGGAGGCAGCAGUGGGGAAUUUUGGACAAUGGGGGCAACCCUGAUCCAGCCAUGCCGCGUGUGUGAAGAAGGCCUCGG
This 388-nucleotide ribosomal RNA is filed under the name uncultured bacterium. RNAcentral describes it as "bacterial SSU rRNA". It matches the Rfam family "Bacterial small subunit ribosomal RNA", at positions 29 to 420 of the family's 1533-position model. The record is from RNAcentral.